This is a long non-coding RNA of Carassius auratus (goldfish), 2098 nucleotides long. RefSeq lists it as uncharacterized. The transcript has 2 exons. Lineage: Eukaryota; Metazoa; Chordata; Actinopteri; Cypriniformes; Cyprinidae. The record is from RefSeq and is a predicted model, not a curated record.
GGAGAGUUUACAGCAGAGCGCCAUCACGUCGUCUACUUGACGAAUCAUUGUAUCGUGUUCAAACACUGCCUGAGGAGGGGAAACAUGAAACAAACGAGCUGCUGACUGCUCCCAGAUUUUCUGCGAGUGACUCCCACUUCCGCUCCCUGUGCAGCUGGCCCUUUAACUGCUGCUAUGCUUAUGAUAUUUUGCAUAAUGUUUUUCAUUUAUUUCGGAGCAUCACCUAAAUGUAAUGUAACUGUGCUGAGAAACUGUCAAACAACCUGUACGUAAAGUGUACAUUUUCCCAGUAGGCCCACCUGUUUGGACAAAACAGAAAAUGCGUCCUGACAGAAAUCACUGGCUUGCCCUUUCUAGUACUGGGUUGGACCCUCUUUAAUUCUGCUUUAACUCUUUGUGGUAUUAGUUCGACAAGGUGCUGGAGGCAUAUGCAUCAGAGAUUUCUGUCCAUAAUGAGAAGAUAGCAUGUUCCUGCACAUCCAUGACGCAAAUCUCCCAUUCCUCCAUCACCUCGGCUUGGGAUCUAGUGACCAUGGCAUGGAGGCCAUGAUAGUGAACUCAGAAUCAUGUUGGACAUGAACAGCUUUGUGACAUGGCACGUUAUUUUUCAAAUUGUAGCCUGGGUUUCCUGUUCAGCUGACAGGAGUGCCAAUCGGUGUGGUAUUCUGCAGCUUUACCCCAUCUACUUCAAGUUUCCACGUGUUGAGCAUUCAGAGAUAUUCUUCUGCAUACCUGAUCAUACACAAUAUGUACUAAUUAACAACUUCAAUUCUGAAGCGAUUAGGCUAACCACCGGGGUUCCUCAGGGCUCCGUAUUUGGGCCCCUCUUAUUUAGCCUUUAUAUCAAUGACUUGCCUAAUGCCUGGUCAGUGAGGGGUGCUACUGAAUGGAAUUUUAUACCUGAGGAAGUAAGACAGCUCAACACUUACAGGGCCUUUACAAAAAAUAACAAAAAAUAAUAAAAAAAAUAAAACAAAAAUUGGCUCAUUAACAAUUAUGUCUGCCAACAUUAAAAGCCGAGCCUAUUGAGCUGUAUUAUAUAUUUGAUAUAUGAAAAUGUGUUUUUUGUGUGUAUUAUUAUUGUAACGGGUACAGUGUACCUUAAGUUAUUUUACAGUGUCAUUUAUAUUGUAGUUAUACUGUAGUCCAUUUGCCAUAGACUAGUAAAUGUAUUUUGUUGUUCGUAUUUUAAUACAUUUUUUACAUCUUGGCCAGGGGACUACAGAUGAAAAAUAGCCUUUUGGCUAAUUCUGGCUUUUUUUAACCAUGUUUGUUCAUGUGUUUUAUGAAAUUGCACUGUCCCCUUUUAAAUAAACCAUUAAAUCAAAUCAAAUCAAACCUUAAUCAUAAGUGGUUAUUAGAGCUAUUGUACCUUCAUAUCAGCUCGAACCAGUCUGGCCAUUCUCCUGUGACAACAAGGCAUUUUCACCCACAGAACACUCACAUUUGAUAUUUUUCAGACCAAGAAAAAACAUAACAGCAUACACACACACACACACACACUAACAAACACAUACAUACAAAGAAACAAACAAAAAAUACAUAACAGCGGCCUUGUAUAUGUAUGAAUGUGUAUAUAUAGUUUGUUUUUCUUUAUAGUGGAACAAUAAUUUUUCUACUUUGGACUUUUGGCUUGGAAUAAAAACACCUUUAUACAUCACCAUUAUGUAUUUCUUUAUUCAUUCAUGUCAACACGCAGUGAUGCCUACAUUAUACAUUUUGCAUUGACCAAUUAAAAGGAUGAUGAAAACAUCUGCUUUGAAUCAUUUAUGAUCAUGUCUAUUUUUUCUGAUAUGUAAAAUGUCUGGUCUAAACAUGUAGGUCCAAUAUUUUUUACAAGUUCCACUUUAUUACUUCUUAAGUCAUAGUGUUUUAUUGAAAAGUCAGAUAUAUGACAGAAAGGCUGAUUGUACAGGGGGCAACUUUCUGAGCAAUGUUGCUAUCAGCCGCCAACCAGGUGAGACACAGGUCCCACGACCAAUCUAGAGUAUCCAGAAACCAUCUUCUUGUAUAACCGAUCUUCAAUUGGAAAGUGCACAAAGAACAGUACUACCGGCAAAUAGAUCAAAAAGUUGCAGUGUAUCGUUAGCCUUCUCAU